RNAcentral lists this ribosomal RNA (2878 nucleotides) under gut metagenome. RNAcentral describes it as "bacterial LSU rRNA". It matches the Rfam family "Bacterial large subunit ribosomal RNA". The record is from RNAcentral.
AAGGCACAUGAAGGAUGCCUGGGCUCUCGGAGGCGAUGAAGGACGUGAUAAGCUGCGAUAAGCUGCGGGAAGGAGCAAAUAUCCCUUGAUCCGCAGAUUUCCGAAUGGGGCAACCCACUGCCCGAACAGGCAGUAUCUUCCGAAUGGAAGAAGCGAACUUGGGGAACUGAAACAUCUCAGUACCCAAAGGAAAAGAAAAUAACCCAAUGAUUGCGCCAGUAGUGGCGAGCGAACGCGCAAGAGCCCAAACCGGCGGUGUUCAGGCACUGACCGGGGUUGUAGGACCGUCAGCAAAUGGACAGUUUGAAGUUAGCCGAAGCCUCUGGAAAGGGGCGCCGCAGCGGGUGACAGCCCCGUAGGCGAAAACAGACGACUGACAGAGACGGCACCUGAGUAAGCCGGGACACGAGAAAUCCUGGCCGAAUCCGCGGGACCAUCCCGUAAGGCUAAAUACUACCGAGAGACCGAUAGCGAACCAGUACCGUGAGGGAAAGGUGAAAAGAACCUCGAACAGAGGAGUGAAACAGACCCUGAAAUCAUGUGCCUACAAGCGGUCGGAGCUGCUCAGUGCAGUGACGGCGUGCCUUUUGCAUAAUGAACCUACGAGUUACCGUCGUUGGCGAGGCUAAGUCCACGAUGGACGGAGCCGAAGCGAAAGCGAGUCAGAAUAUGGCGCGAUAUAGUCAGCGGCGGUAGACGCGAAACCAAGUGAUCUACCCUUGGGCAGGUUGAAGGUGGGGUAACACCCACUGGAGGACCGAACCGGUAAGCGUUGAAAAGCUUUCGGAUGACCUGAGGGUAGGAGUGAAAGGCCAAUCAAACUUGGAGAUAGCUCGUACUCCCCGAAAUGCAUUUAGGUGCAGCCUCGGGCGCAGUACCGUGGAGGUAGAGCGACUGAUAGGAUGCGAGGCUUCACCGCUAUCAAGUCCUGACAAACUCCGAAUGCCACGGCACGAUCCCCGGAGUGAGGGCGCGGGUGCUAAGGUCCGCGUCCGAGAGAGGAACAACUCAGACCACCGUCUAAGGCCCCCAAAUCCGGGCUAAGUUGAAGACAAUAACGAGGUGGGAUUGCAAGGACAGCUAGGAUGUUGGCUUGGAAGCAGCCAUUCAUUUAAAGAGUGCGUAACAGCUCACUAGUCGAGUGAUCCGCAUGGAUAAUAAUCGGGCAUAAGUCCGGUGCCGAAGACGUGGAAUCGACGGUCAAACCGUCGAUUGGUAGGGAGCAUUCCGGUAGCCGCAGAAGGUCAGGCGCGAGCCUGGCUGGAGGUCCCGGAAAAGCAAAUGUAGGUAUAAGUAACGACAAAGGGGGCGAGAAACCCCUCGCCGCAAGACCAAGGGUUUCUGAUCAACGCUAAUCGGAUCAGAGUCAGUCGGGACCUAAGGCACAGCCGCAAGGCGCAGCCGAUGGAAGAAACGGUCAACAUUCCGUUACUCCCUUCAGGAGUGACGUGGAGACGGAGAAGUGACACUCCCGCGUGCUGACGGAAUAGCACGUUAAACCGCGUAGGUAUAUCUGAGGCAGGCAAAUCCGCCUCAGAUGCUGAAACGGACAGUACGGAGAGCCCCCGUGGCAAUCCGACAGCGGAGGUAAUCAGGCUCCCAAGAAAAUCCGCUAAACUUAAUCCUGAAGGGACCCGUACCCCAAACCGACACAGGUGGUCGGGUAGAACAUACCAAGGCGCUCGAGAGAUUCACGGUUAAGGAACUAGGCAAAUUGACCCCGUAACUUCGGAUAAGGGGUCCCCUCCUUCGCGGAGGGGCGCAGAGAAUAGGUCCAGGCAACUGUUUAACAAAAACACAGGGCUGUGCGAAAUUGAAAGAUGAAGAAUACAGCCUGACACCUGCCCGGUGCCGGAAGGUUAAGAGGAGAUGUCAUCGCAAGAGAAGCAUUGAAUUGAAGCCCCGGUAAACGGCGGCCGUAACUAUAACGGUCCUAAGGUAGCGAAAUUCCUUGUCGGGUAAGUUCCGACCUGCACGAAUGGUGUAAUGAUCCGGACACUGUCUCAACCGUGAGCUCGGUGAAAUUGUAGUAUCGGUGAAGAUGCCGAUUACCCGCAACGGACGAAAAGACCCGUGAACCUUUACUGCAGCUUAGCACUGUGACCGGGUGUGCGAUGUGUAGGAUAGUCAGGAGACUUUGAAGCGUGACGCCAGUCAUCGUGGAGUCGACGUUGAAAUACUGACCUUUGCACAUCUGGUUUCUAACGCGCAUCGGCGCGGACACUGCUUGGUGGGUAGUUUGACUGGGGUGGUCGCCUCCAAAAGCGUAACGGAGGCUUCUAAAGGUGCGCUCAGGCCGAUUGGUAACCGGCCGCAGAGUGUAAUGGCACAAGCGCGCUUGACUGAGAGACAAACAAGUCGAACAGGUAGGAAACUAGAGCAUAGUGAUCCGGUGGUUCCGCAUGGAAGGGCCAUCGCUCAAAGGAUAAAAGGUACUCCGGGGAUAACAGGCUGAUCCCUCCAAGAGCUCAUAUCGACGGAGUGGUUUGGCACCUCGAUGUCGGCUCGUCACAUCCCGGGGCUGGAAAGGUCCCAAGGGUUAGGCUGUUCGCCUAUUAAAGUGGCACGCGAGCUGGGUUCAGAACGUCGUGAGACAGUUCGGUCUCUAUCUGUUGUGGGCGCAGGAGAUUUGCGAGGCCCCGACACUAGUACGAGAGGACCGUGUUGGACCGACCUCCGGUUUACCGGUUGUUCGCCAGGAGCACCGCCGGGUAGCCGCGUCGGGUAAGGAUAAGUGCUGAAAGCAUCUAAGCACGAAGCCCCCCUCAAGAUAAGAUCUCCACAUAAGGGCCGUUUAAGACGAAGACGUAGAUAGGUCGCAGGUGCAGGUGCGGUAACGUACACAGCCGAGCGAUACUAAUCGCCCAAACCCUUUCUU